RNAcentral lists this ribosomal RNA (468 nucleotides) under uncultured bacterium. RNAcentral describes it as "partial 16S ribosomal RNA". It matches the Rfam family "Bacterial small subunit ribosomal RNA", at positions 28 to 507 of the family's 1533-position model. The record is from RNAcentral.
GACGAACGCUGGCGGCGUGCUUAACACAUGCAAGUCGAACGGAAAGGCCCUGCUUUUGUGGGGUGCUCGAGUGGCGAACGGGUGAGUAACACGUGAGUAACCUGCCCUUGACUUUGGGAUAACUUCAGGAAACUGGGGCUAAUACCGGAUAGGAGCUCCUGCUGCAUGGUGGGGGUUGGAAAGUUUCGGCGGUUGGGGAUGGACUCGCGGCUUAUCAGCUUGUUGGUGGGGUAGUGGCUUACCAAGGCUUUGACGGGUAGCCGGCCUGGGAGGGUGACCGGCCACAAUGGGACUGAGAGACGGCCCAGACUCCUACGGGAGGCAGCAGUGGGGAAUAUUGCACAAUGGGCGGAAGCCUGAUGCAGCAACGCCGCGUGCGGGAUGACGGCCUUCGGGUUGUAAACCGCUGUCGCCUGUGACGAAGCGUGAGUGACGGUAAUGGGUAAAGAAGCACCGGCUAACUACGUG